This is a long non-coding RNA of Zingiber officinale, 1124 nucleotides long. RefSeq lists it as uncharacterized. The transcript is spliced from 4 exons. Lineage: Eukaryota; Viridiplantae; Streptophyta; Magnoliopsida; Zingiberales; Zingiberaceae. The record is from RefSeq and is a predicted model, not a curated record.
AAAAUUUUCGGAAUUUAAACGGAGUCUGUAUGACCCGUUUUGAGGGGAUGAAUUUGGGGUACAGUGAAAGCCUGUUUGGAAUACCCAUUUAAGUGGGAGUUGAUUUGGGAAUGAACUUAGGAUUCAAUUAAACUAACCUAAGUUUUAUUAACCUAACUUUAUAUUCCUUCUCCUUUCACCCGACUCAUUUCUCCCGACCCCCUUCCCUCGGUCCCCAUCUCACGAUCUCCGGCGACAAGGCAUCGACGGCGAUCUCCGGCGACUAGGCAUCGAUGCCGAUGACCUUCUCCUCACGCUAAGGCCUUCUCUUUCCUCUCGCCUCUACCCGAACCCCCCUCUCCGGCGAUUUCUUCCCAGCGACGUCGAGCACGCCACCGCCCGCCGGUGUAACCUCGGCCAAGCCUCCCUUUUCCCUCUCCCUCCCGAGGCAUGGAGUCUUUCUUCCUCUCUUCUCCUCUUCACCGCCGGCGCAACCCUCUUUUCUCCUGAUCUCGUCGCCGUGCCCUAGAUUGUUGAUGUCGGAUCCCUCUUGUCGAGCUCUCCCGACCAGGCCACGCCACAUGGUGUAGCCGGUUCACCGCGAGCACCAGCUACACUGCUCCUUCCCUUCCGGCCAACCAUCGCCAUCCCUUUCCCGCGCCUGAUCGCCGACCACCAGAGCUUGACCUUUAAUUGCCAACCUAGCUUCAAGAUUGAUGCUAGGCAUGAUCCCGGUUCUGAUGUGAAGUGUCCGACCAAGCUGUAUUGAUCCGGCAAUGUGACCAAAAGACUAGCUGCGAAUUGGGGGGGAAGCUCCAUUUCUUUCUCCACAGCAACUUCAGAUUUCUUCAUCAAAGGAUGUGGAUCUGUUUUAGGUUAAGAUACAGUGUUGUAUGGUUUCUUCUUGGAUUGAUGUUCUUGGAAGAAUUGGAGUAUAUGUUUCUUUUGGAGCAUUCAAGCAGAGGCUGCUACUGGAUUUACUAGUAUAUCUCUCGGAUAGGUGUGUGUGUCUCCUGUAGCUUAUGGACAGGGAGUCAUAGGGCUGUGGGCUGCUAGAUUUGCUACUGCCUCCUAAGGAUUUGGAUUCGGGACGAGCCUCUCGACGUGGGACUUGUGGACACGAUCUAUGUAUACAAAGGCGGGUA